Molecule: ribosomal RNA, 449 nt
Filed under: uncultured bacterium
Lineage: Bacteria
Description: partial 16S ribosomal RNA
Rfam family: Bacterial small subunit ribosomal RNA
Source: RNAcentral
UCCAGACUCCUACGGGAGGCAGCAGUGGGGAAUAUUGGGCAAUGGGCGCAAGUCUGACCCAGCAACGCCGCGUGAAGGAAGAAGGCUUUCGGGUUGUAAACUUCUUUUCCCAGGGACGAAGCAAGUGACGGUACCUGAGGAAUAAGCCACGGCUAACUACGUGCCAGCAGCCGCGGUAAUACGUAGGUGGCAAGCGUUAUCCGGAUUUACUGGGUGUAAAGGGCGUGUAGGCGGGAAAGCAAGUCAGAUGUGAAAACCACGGGCUCAACCUGUGGCCUGCAUUUGAAACUGUAGAUCUUGAGUGAUGGAGAGGCAGGCGGAAUUCCGUGUGUAGCGGUGAAAUGCGUAGAUAUACGGAGGAACACCAGUGGCGAAGGCGGCCUGCUGGACAUUAACUGACGCUGAGGCGCGAAAGCGUGGGGAGCAAACAGGAUUAGAUACCCGGGUAA